CCUACGGGGGGCUGCAGUGGGGAAUAUUGCACAAUGGGCGCAAGCCUGAUGCAGCCAUGCCGCGUGUGUGAAGAAGGCCUUCGGGUUGUAAAGCACUUUCAGCGGGGAGGAAGGCGUUAAGGUUAAUAACCUUGGCGAUUGACGUUACCCGCAGAAGAAGCACCGGCUAACUCCGUGCCAGCAGCCGCGGUAAUACGGAGGGUGCAAGCGUUAAUCGGAAUUACUGGGCGUAAAGCGCACGCAGGCGGUCUGUCAAGUCGGAUGAGAAAUCCCCGGGCUCAACCUGGGAACUGCAUUCGAAACUGGCAGGCUAGAGUCUUGUAGAGGGGGGUAGAAUUCCAGGUGUAGCGGUGAAAUGCGUAGAGAUCUGGAGGAAUACCGGUGGCGAAGGCGGCCCCCUGGACAAAGACUGACGCUCAGGUGCGAAAGCGUGGGGAGCAAACAGGAUUAGAUACCCGAGUAGUC
This 465-nucleotide ribosomal RNA is filed under the name uncultured Klebsiella sp. Its description in RNAcentral is "bacterial SSU rRNA". It matches the Rfam family "Bacterial small subunit ribosomal RNA", at positions 338 to 795 of the family's 1533-position model. Lineage: Bacteria; Pseudomonadati; Pseudomonadota; Gammaproteobacteria; Enterobacterales; Enterobacteriaceae. The record is from RNAcentral.